CCCUUAGAUGUUCUGGGCCGCACGCGUGCUACACUGAGUGGAUCAGCGGGUCAGGUUGCGCGAAAGUGUUUCCUAAUCUUUAAAUCCGCUCGUGAUGGGGAUUGACGGUUGCAAUUUUCUGUCAUGAACGAGGAAUACCUUGUAAGCGCGGGUCAUCAUCCCGCGCUGAAUACGUCCCUGCCCUUUGUACACACCGCCCGUCGCUCCUACCGAUUGAGUGGUCCGGUGAAUAAUUCGGACUGCAGCAGUGUUCAGUUCCUGAACGUUGCAGCGGAAAGUUUAGUGAACCUUAUCACUUAGAGGAAGGAGAAGUCGUAACA
Molecule: ribosomal RNA, 320 nt
Filed under: uncultured eukaryote
Lineage: Eukaryota
Description: partial 18S ribosomal RNA
Rfam family: Eukaryotic small subunit ribosomal RNA
Source: RNAcentral